This 633-nucleotide long non-coding RNA is filed under the name Panax ginseng (ginseng). Its description in RNAcentral is "long non-coding RNA (PGIN_LNC015378)". The record is from RNAcentral. Lineage: Eukaryota; Viridiplantae; Streptophyta; Magnoliopsida; Apiales; Araliaceae.
UACAGAUGAAUUUGUUAAUUUUUCAGCAAGCCAGUGUAAGGCAGAACAAUGAGGACAUGUUCGAUUCAUCAAGCCGAAGGAAUGACGAUCUGGAAUUUCAUGGUUUCGAGGAUUAAAUGCAACAUCCAUAGUUACGUCUUCUACUGUGUAGGCACUACAGAUAAAAUUAUAAAUGUCAUACAAUUUUUAAAAGGAGAACAUGAAUAAGACAGCAAGUGUGAGAAUAGAAAAUUAAAACUUAUAUCGAACACCUGGUGCCUUCAUUCGGAUUACACAUUUGUUGGAACAUGUUUGUCAUAUAUGAUGCCUUUGGGGAACGUGGGGAGAAUGGUUCCAAGACUGUUGUUAUGCUUUUGUAUAGGUUUUGAGGAGGCAUGUCUUGGAGCAUGGUAGUCACAGGCAACACCCUUGAGAUAUUUGUUGGUGUGCCUUCUUCAAGAUUUUGAGGAUUUUCUUGAUUCAUGAUGGCCACAGACAACCACCAUGAAACAAUUGUUGUAGUAUCUUCAUUAAGAUUUUGAAGUAAGGUGGUUGGCGAUGACUCUAAAACAUUUGUUGUCACUAUACUGUCUAUUACAGGUGGUUGAAGGCGGGACCUUUUAUUUGAUUCUCGUUCAAGGCAUGCUCGGCGAC